AGGGGAAGAACUAUUGCAGUCUCAACCUUAUCAGGUAUCUAGCACACAGUAGUAAGGACUAAGGUUUGAGUAAUUCUCCAACAAUACAUGAGUUAUCAUUUGGAUUAUUUCCCAUGUGUAGAUGAUAUAUAGCAUGAUCAAUUAGGGAUUAAGGUAUUGACACAAUUCAUUCUGCACUUAAUCGGAUAUCCAAGAUGUUGUAGUUCAGCACAAAUGCACUCCGAUGAUGAUUGAAAAUGCUUGGGGAAAUGUUGGUCAAGACUCAAGUAUGUUCUGCUAAUUUAUUGUUGCGAUUGGUUGGCAGUCAAGACCAGAAGAGCUAUCCAGGGAUGAUCUCGUUUGCAUAGUUUGAGUUUAAAUUAUAACAAUAUAGAUAGCAAGCCUUCUCUAGCACAUGAGCUGCAGGCUUGAAGCAUAUUUCACUCAAUCAUGAACACAACAAUAUAUACAACAAGUUGGAAAAUUUCCAAAUACUGUUCCUAGAAAUAGAAGAAAUCGUUCGCGAACUUGUUUCAAGCAGUUUAUUUGACUAAUAAUUAUGGUUUGCAAUGCAUAAUGUUGUAAUAUUAUGAAGUUGACAAAAAAUAUUAUCACUCUUGUCGACGUGUUUGUUACAAGACCCGCAAGAAGGUUGCCCCCAUUUAAAUUUUGUGCACAAAUAUGAACAAGAACAAUUUUCUCAUUCAACAUAUUACUACUAACAAUGUUUCUAUAAAUCGACGAAAAUCCAUAAUCAUCAAACCUACAAUGUCAUACAUUUCCAUUCCAUGACAUAAACAAAACCAUAAAUUAGAAAAAACAAUACAACAAAAAAACUCAUUGUAUUCAUGUCCUUGCGAAUUGUCGGAUUCAUCGCAUUCAUCGUAGUGCAAAAUGCAACAUAACUCUAUUUUUGCUCUGUUUCCACCCAACUCACCCAUGAAACUGGUACACAAGCUCCAAAAGCCCUCUCAUUUG
This 957-nucleotide long non-coding RNA is filed under the name Malus domestica (apple). RNAcentral describes it as "long non-coding RNA (MDOM_LNC001075)". The record is from RNAcentral. Lineage: Eukaryota; Viridiplantae; Streptophyta; Magnoliopsida; Rosales; Rosaceae.